CGUAAGGCGCCGAAUGAGUCAUUAAAAGAUUAACAUCAUCCGAUCCCUAGUCGGCAUAGUUUAUGGUUAAGACUACGACGGUAUCUGAUCGUCUUCGAUCCCCUAACUUUCGUUCUUGAUUAAUGAAAACAUCCUUGGCAAAAUGCUUUUCGCAGUAGUUAGUCUUCAAUAAAUCCAAGAAUUUCACCUCUGACAAUUGAAUACUAAUGCCCCCAACUAUCCCUAUUAAUCAUUACGUCGAUCCUAGAAACCAACAAAAUAGAAUCAAACGUCUUAUUCAUUAUUCCAUGCUAAUGUAUUCAAGCGUGAGCCUGCUUUAAACACCUUAA
This 329-nucleotide ribosomal RNA is filed under the name uncultured Glomus. Its description in RNAcentral is "partial 18S ribosomal RNA". The record is from RNAcentral. Lineage: Eukaryota; Fungi; Glomeromycota; Glomeromycetes; Glomerales; Glomeraceae.